Molecule: ribosomal RNA, 796 nt
Filed under: uncultured bacterium
Lineage: Bacteria
Description: bacterial SSU rRNA
Rfam family: Bacterial small subunit ribosomal RNA
Source: RNAcentral
CAGUCGAACGAAACUUCUUUAUCACCGAGUGCUUGCACUCACCGAUAAAGAGUUGAGUGGCGAACGGGUGAGUAACACGUGGGCAACCUGCCCAAAAGAGGGGGAUAACACUUGGAAACAGGUGCUAAUACCGCAUAACCAUAGUUACCGCAUGGUAACUAUGUAAAAGGUGGCUAUGCUACCGCUUUUGGAUGGGCCCGCGGCGCAUUAGCUAGUUGGUGGGGUAAAGGCUUACCAAGGCAAUGAUGCGUAGCCGAACUGAGAGGUUGAUCGGCCACAUUGGGACUGAGACACGGCCCAAACUCCUACGGGAGGCAGCAGUAGGGAAUCUUCCACAAUGGGCGAAAGCCUGAUGGAGCAACGCCGCGUGGGUGAAGAAGGUCUUCGGAUCGUAAAACCCUGUUGUUAGAGAAGAAAGUGCGUGAGAGUAACUGUUCACGUUUCGACGGUAUCUAACCAGAAAGCCACGGCUAACUACGUGCCAGCAGCCGCGGUAAUACGUAGGUGGCAAGCGUUAUCCGGAUUUAUUGGGCGUAAAGGGAACGCAGGCGGUCUUUUAAGUCUGAUGUGAAAGCCUUCGGCUUAACCGGAGUAGUGCAUUGGAAACUGGGAGACUUGAGUGCAGAAGAGGAGAGUGGAACUCCAUGUGUAGCGGUGAAAUGCGUAGAUAUAUGGAAGAACACCAGUGGCGAAAGCGGCUCUCUGGUCUGUAACUGACGCUGAGGUUCGAAAGCGUGGGUAGCAAACAGGAUUAGAUACCCUGGUAGUCCACGCCGUANACGAUGAAUGCUAAGUG